This 433-nucleotide ribosomal RNA is filed under the name Corbicula largillierti. Its description in RNAcentral is "partial 16S ribosomal RNA". It matches the Rfam family "Bacterial large subunit ribosomal RNA", at positions 1817 to 2557 of the family's 2925-position model. The record is from RNAcentral. Lineage: Eukaryota; Metazoa; Mollusca; Bivalvia; Venerida; Cyrenidae.
GGCCUUUUGGAGAUUUAUAUAAAAGGUUGGGCCUGCCCGGUGAUCUGAAAUGGUUUAACGGCUGCGAUUGAAACCGUACUAAGGUAGCAUAGUAAUUUGCCCUUUAAUUGGGGGAGAGAAUGAAUGGUUUGACGGUAAAAAGGCUGUUUUAAAAAUAAAAAAAGAAGUUAACUUUUAAGUGAAAAGGCUUAAGUUUUUAUAAAAGACGAGAAGACCCCGUCGAGCUUAAUUAGAAUAACUUAAGUGUAGGUUAUUUAAAAUUUUAUUGGGGCAAUAGAAAAUGAAAUGAAUCAUUUUUUUUAUUAUAAGGAUCCAGUUUUGACUGAAAAAAGCAAAAGCUACCGCGGGGAUAACAGGGUAAUUUUUUCUGAGAGUUCAUAUUUAAGAAGAAGUUUGCUACCUCGAUGUUGGAUUAGAAUUUCUUUAUGCUUGC